This 465-nucleotide ribosomal RNA is filed under the name uncultured bacterium. Its description in RNAcentral is "partial 16S ribosomal RNA". It matches the Rfam family "Bacterial small subunit ribosomal RNA", at positions 338 to 795 of the family's 1533-position model. The record is from RNAcentral.
CCUACGGGAGGCAGCAGUAGGGAAUCUUCCACAAUGGGCGAAAGCCUGAUGGAGCAACGCCGCGUGGGUGAAGAAGGUCUUCGGAUCGUAAAACCCUGUUGUUAGAGAAGAAAGUGCGUGAGAGUAACUCUUCACGUUUCGACGGUAUCUAACCAGAAAGGCACGGCUAACUGCGUGCCCGCCGCCGCGGUAAUACGUAGGUGGAAAGCGUUCGCCGGAUUUAUUGGGCGUAAAUGGAACGCAGGUGGUCUUUUAAGUCUGAUGUGAAAGCCGUCGGCUUAACCGGAGUAGUGCAUUGGAAGUUGGGGGACGUGAGUGCAGAAGAGGAGAGUGGAACUCCAGGUGUAGCGGUGAAAUGCGUAGAUAUAUGGAAGAACACCAGUGGCGAAAGCGGCUCUCUGGUCUGUAACUGACGCUGAGGUUCGAAAGCGUGGGUAGCAAACAGGAUUAGAUACCCGUGUAGUC